RNAcentral lists this ribosomal RNA (407 nucleotides) under uncultured bacterium. RNAcentral describes it as "partial 16S ribosomal RNA". It matches the Rfam family "Bacterial small subunit ribosomal RNA", at positions 28 to 526 of the family's 1533-position model. The record is from RNAcentral.
GACGAACGCUGGCGGCGUGCCUAAUACAUGCACGUAGGACGCAGUUGCGAACGGGUGAGUAACGCGUAGGUAACUACCUAUUAGAGGGGGAUAACUAUUGGAAACGAUAGCUAAUACCGCAUACUAGUAGAUUGACCUGCGUUGUCUUAUCUAGUAGGUAGGGUAAUGGCCUACCUCGGCAACGAUACAUAGCCGACGUGAGAGGGUGAUCGGCCAAACUGGGACUGAGAAACGGCCCAGACGCCGAAGGGAGGCAGCAGGAGGGAAUCUUGGGAAAUGGGGGGAACCCUGACCGAGCAACGCCGCGGGAGUGAAGAAGGUUGUCGGAUCGUAAAGCUCGGUUGUUAAGGAAGCGGUACUUAACCAGAAAGGGACGGCUAACUACGUGCCAGCAGCCGCGGUAAUAC